This is a long non-coding RNA of Rosa rugosa (rugosa rose), 430 nucleotides long. RefSeq lists it as uncharacterized. The transcript has 2 exons. The record is from RefSeq and is a predicted model, not a curated record. NCBI's taxonomy places the organism in Eukaryota, Viridiplantae, Streptophyta, Magnoliopsida, Rosales, Rosaceae.
ACAAACUACCCAUCUCUCUUUUCAGUUUCACUCUUUCUCGAGCGCCUCUCUCCGUCCUCUCUCAAAACAGUGAACCCUAUCAUCUCUCUGUCCGAUUUCGAUCUCCUCUCUCUCAAAUCAAACCCCAUCAUCUCUCUCAAAUCAAAUCCUCUCUCCUGUCAUUUCGAUCUCUCGCUCUCUCGAUUCUGGUGUCACUCAAGGUGAUGUACCUGUUGAAUUGGGAGAAUGAUGAAGCAUUGAUGCAAACCUGCAAGCUGCAGCAUCUAGGAUGGCUUGUGUUCAAUCUACUUUUAUUUGCUUUUGAACUUGUAAUAACUUGGAGUUUGGUUGAAUUGUUCUCUAUUUGUAUUCAGGUCUGUAACUAUUAACUAAGUUUGGACUAUGGACUUAUGGAGUAUGGAAUAUAUAUGCCUGUAGCUCUUUGCUUAAA